This 410-nucleotide ribosomal RNA is filed under the name uncultured microorganism. RNAcentral describes it as "bacterial SSU rRNA". It matches the Rfam family "Bacterial small subunit ribosomal RNA", at positions 509 to 917 of the family's 1533-position model. The record is from RNAcentral.
CAGCCGCCGCGGUAAUACGUAGGGUGCGAGCGUUAAUCGGAUUUACUGGGCGUAAAGCGUGCGCAGGCGGCCCGUUAAGACAGGUGUGAAAUCCCUGGGCUCAACCUAGGAAUUGCGCUUGUGACUGGCGGGCUCGAGUACGGUAGAGGGGGGUGGAAUUCCUGGUGUAGCAGUGAAAUGCGUAGAGAUCAGGAGGAACACCGAUGGCGAAGGCAGCCCCCUGGGCCUGUACUGACGCUCAUGCACGAAAGCGUGGGGAGCAAACAGGAUUAGAUACCCUGGUAGUCAACGCCCUAAACGAUGGGUACUAGCCGUUUGGUGCGCGAUAGCGCUGAGUGGCGAAGCUAACGCGUGAAGUACCCCGCCUGGGGAGUACGGCCGCAAGGUUGAAACUUAAAGGAAUUGGCGGG